GGUCCCAUCACGGCCCGUAUUCCUUUGGCCCGUUGCCAAAUGAAUUCCUCAAGCUUCCUCUUCCAUCAGCUAAAUUCCUAGUCAUAGUCGUGGUCGAUCUCUCUCAGGAGGCGGGGGCCACAGUCGUGGUUGGAGCUAUAGCCCGAGGAAGGCACAGCAAGUCUCCAAGAGCAAAACCUUGGCGCAAGUCACCUGGAAAGUCAAGAUCAAGGCCCACUCGUUCGGUUGCUCCCGAUUUGAAUCAGGCUUGUUAAGAGAAAGAACUGGACUAGGUGUCUCCUAUGUGGUCAAUGUGUUGAAUGCUUCUAGGUUGCUUUGUUGUUAAAUGCAGGAAAGAUUGAGCUAGGUAGAGGGGAAAGUGCCAGAAGGUGAGAGCGAGGGAUGAGUUAGGAGUGGGCUCAAAAACCGACAGUUACAGUUUCAGUGAUUUUUUUUUAAGAAUUAGCUUAUCUCAUUUAUCUUUCCCCUUUCAUUGUUUAAGUAUUUUUGCAGAUGAGUUUUGUAACUGAUUCCCCGGUACACUCGUCUAGCAGUGAUGACUUUGCCGCAUUGCUUGAUGCUGAACUUGAAGUCGGUUCUUCAGGCUCAUCACACAAUGAACAAGACGAUGAAGAGGAAGAAGUUGAUGAUGAUAACAAUGAUGAUGAUGAUGACCUCGACAAUCAAAGGAACAAAAGGUGCAAGACCGAGAAGUUGGAAGACGUAGAAGAACCUCAAGGGUCAACCUCGCAGGGUUUGAUAGAAGAAAAUAUAGGUAAAGUUCCUUAAUUUGGUUGGCUGCCCCUCCAGUUUAUUUAAAACUUGGAUCCCUUCCACUCCCUGAACUUCAGCACAAUUAACUAUCUGGUGACAUGCUCACAAGUGUCUCAUGCUACUAAUGGCUUUUAGGAGAUACAACAAGAGAGCAAUUUGGCUGUAACUAGUCUAUUCUUAAAUUUUAAUCUAGUACUAUUCAUAAAUAUUCAAAUAGGAUGUGUCUGUUUUAGAUGGUUUGCCAUGCUAAAGCUUUCUAAGUUUCA
This is a non-coding RNA of Durio zibethinus, 1019 nucleotides long. The record is from RefSeq and is a predicted model, not a curated record. Lineage: Eukaryota; Viridiplantae; Streptophyta; Magnoliopsida; Malvales; Malvaceae.